Molecule: ribosomal RNA, 450 nt
Filed under: uncultured Entrophospora
Lineage: Eukaryota; Fungi; Glomeromycota; Glomeromycetes; Entrophosporales; Entrophosporaceae
Description: SSU rRNA
Rfam family: Eukaryotic small subunit ribosomal RNA
Source: RNAcentral
AGCAGCCGCGGUAAUUCCAGCUCCAAUAGCGUAUAUUAAAGUUGUUGCAGUUAAAAAGCUCGUAGUUGAAUUUCGGGAUUGACGUGAUGGUCAUGCCUUAAGGGGUAUGAACUGUUACUGUUGAUUUCUCACCUUCUGGAGAAACUUGAUGUCCUUUAUUGGGUGUCUUGCGGAUCCAGGACCUUUACCUUGAAAAAAUUAGAGUGUUUAAAGCAGGCAUUUUUGCUCGAAUACAUUAGCAUGGAAUAAUAGAAUAGGACGGCAUGGUUCUAUUUUGUUGGUUUCUAGGAUCACCGUAAUGAUUAAUAGGGAUAGUUGGGGGCAUUAGUAUUCAAUUGUCAGAGGUGAAAUUCUUGGAUUUUAUUGAAGACUAACUACUGCGAAAGCAUUUGCCAAGGAUGUUUUCAUUAAUCAAGAACGAAAGUUAGGGGAUCGAAGACGAUCAGAUAC